CAUAAAUCCGCCGCAAUCAAUACCUGCUGCACACCUUAACACAUAGAGCGUAUCCCGUUCCGACUGGCGACGGUAUUGUUCGCCUCGAGAGAGUGGAAUGUCACCAUGGCAGUAUGGAUUAUUGAAAGUAUACACUAGCCAGUGAUCGCACGUCAUGGCUGCCUGAAUUUAACAAGUACAUAGUGGAUGUGACAUAAAACGCAUAUACUCGGGAGGCGAAGAGGCGGACGACGGUGGUAUGAGGGUGUGUAAGGCCGAUGUUCCUUGUCAGCAUUUUACGCUGGAUGUACUCUGACCACACGCCUAGACCGCCAUCUAGGAUUCUGCUAUUAAAUAUAUCAAUGUUCCAGCUAAAUGGCGGUGGUCUGUAAUUAAUC
Molecule: long non-coding RNA, 377 nt
Filed under: Haliotis rubra (blacklip abalone)
Lineage: Eukaryota; Metazoa; Mollusca; Gastropoda; Lepetellida; Haliotidae
Description: uncharacterized LOC124257138, transcript variant X2
Source: RNAcentral